AUUUCUUGUGUGUGUUCCAAAUUAGAUUAAUUGCUACUCGAUUGUUUAGCAAUUUCAUCAUGGUCACGUUCUAUUUUAUGAAUAUCAUAUCGUUAUCUUAUAUCAUUCCUAUCACAUCUAUUAUACCUUUUCCGUUGCUAAACAUUUUAUUAAACUCUGAUGUUGAAAUGAAAAUGUUUUAAAAAUUGUCUUUUUGUGAACGGUC
This 205-nucleotide long non-coding RNA is filed under the name Lathyrus oleraceus (garden pea). Its description in RNAcentral is "Pisum sativum (pea) long non-coding RNA (PSAT_LNC018390)". The record is from RNAcentral. Lineage: Eukaryota; Viridiplantae; Streptophyta; Magnoliopsida; Fabales; Fabaceae.